RNAcentral lists this ribosomal RNA (462 nucleotides) under uncultured bacterium. Its description in RNAcentral is "partial 16S ribosomal RNA". It matches the Rfam family "Bacterial small subunit ribosomal RNA", at positions 28 to 507 of the family's 1533-position model. The record is from RNAcentral.
GAUGAACGCUGACAGAAUGCUUAACACAUGCAAGUCUUUGGCGAAGCUGUGCUUGCACAGCCUAGCCAAGGCGGACGGGUGAGUAACGCGUAAGGAACUUGCCCUGCAGUCAGGGAUAACAGACGGAAACGACUGAUAAGACCUGGUAAAGUCAGGCGGACUCAUGUCCAGCCUGAUGAAAAGAGAUGCUGCAGGAGAGCCUUGCGUCCUAUUAGCUUGUUGGUGGGGUAACGGCCCACCAAGGCGAUGAUAGGUAGCCGGCCUGAGAGGGUGGACGGCCACAAGGGGACUGAGAUACGGCCCUUACUCCUACGGGAGGCAGCAGUGGGGAAUAUUGGACAAUGGGGCAACCCUGAUCCAGCAAUUCUGUGUGCACGAUGAAGGUUUUCGGAUUGUAAAGUGCUUUCAGCAGGGAAGAAAAAAAUGACGGUACCUGCAGAAGAAGCGACGGCUAAAUACGUG